CUACGUUUAAAAGGAGGCAGAAAGUGAGAAUGUUCCAAUUUUACGACAUUGAAUAGUUCUCUCAAUUCCGCUAAACAAAGCUCUCUACUACUUAAUCCUUCAUGCACAUUUUCCUUUAACUACCCAAAAAGUUGAAAAUGGUAGUAGUAGGGUUAGGGCUACAAUAAACAACAAUAGUACUAUCAUCCUUCACUAUACACCCAUACCCAUAUCGAUAACUGUAACGACGACUGCGUAGAUUUGUACUACUUACUCUUUUUCUAUAUCCACUAAUUGAAGUGGUAGUGAAUUGAUUGAUAUGACCCCUCUAUAUUCAGUGAUGAUUGACAAAAAAGGGACUGAAAUUUGCAUACUUUUUCUAUAUCCACUAAUUGAAGUGGUAGUGAAUUGAUUGAUAUGACCCUUCUAUAUUCAGUGAUGAUUGACAAAAAAGGGACUGAAAUUUGCAUAUGAACAGAUUUUAAAUGGGAUAUGGGUGGUUACUGUUUGAUUCUGGAGUGAUUUUAUUGGAUACUUUUUCAUUAUUGUGGUAUUGAAAGUGAUAUUUUGUGUAAAGGGUCACUUAAAAAACAAGGGAAAGGAAUGAAUGGAUGAUGCUGGUUUAAGAGAAAUUUUUCCAUAUGAAGAGAUUUGGGAUUUGUUUUUUCAUACUGGGGAGGCUAUGUUUUUUUGUGGUUGUGUUACUGAAGUAUUGUUUUGGGUAUACGGUUACUGUUACUUUUCCUCUUUAUUCGUGUUCGUGUACUAACUGAAGAGGAUUCGGGGUGAGUUGUUUAUGGUAGUGUUGAAGGAAAAAAAAGGGGAACAGAAGUAGUAGUAGUAUUUGUAUAGCAUUCGGGGAAUUGGGGCGCGUCUUUUGCUGUAGUACUGAAGGAAAAAAAGAAGAAGAAAUAGUAACUAAGCAUUUUUGGGGUUAGUUAUUUACUGUAGUACUGAAGGAAAAAAGGGAGAAAAGGAAGGAGUACCAACUGGAGAGCAUUUAUUGUUUUUGGUAGUGUGGAAGGA
Molecule: long non-coding RNA, 1005 nt
Filed under: Capsicum annuum
Lineage: Eukaryota; Viridiplantae; Streptophyta; Magnoliopsida; Solanales; Solanaceae
Description: long non-coding RNA (CANN_LNC019796)
Source: RNAcentral